GAGGAUAUAGCUCAGUGGCAGAGCACAUGCUUAGCGAACACAAGGUCCUGGGUUCAAUCCCCAGUACCUCCA
Molecule: transfer RNA, 72 nt
Filed under: Camelus bactrianus (Bactrian camel)
Lineage: Eukaryota; Metazoa; Chordata; Mammalia; Artiodactyla; Camelidae
Also listed under: 2 other names
Rfam family: tRNA
About the family: Transfer RNA (tRNA) molecules are approximately 80 nucleotides in length.
Source: Rfam by way of RNAcentral